Molecule: long non-coding RNA, 1269 nt
Filed under: Numida meleagris (helmeted guineafowl)
Lineage: Eukaryota; Metazoa; Chordata; Aves; Galliformes; Numididae
Description: lncRNA (ENSNMEG00000017528.1)
Source: RNAcentral
AGUUUCCAUAAAUGAAAUUCAGAAAUGAUCAUCUUGAUAUUUUGCAUCAUUGCAAUGCAUGGACAAGCAUGCUCAGUAAGUUCAGCACGAGGACCUCUUUUUCUGAAGCAAGUGAAACCUUGCUGUAAAUGAAACUAAGACAUACAAACGAUAGAUCCAAUCUAGCAUAUAUAUUCUUCUAUAGAGUUCUGCAGAAAAAUGCGGUGCAGAUCAGAAACUGUUCACUGAGUGUGUUCUCUGGUAUGGGCUGGACAGACACUGGACAUGAAAGGAAAAUCUUGGUGCCAGGACUAAAUUUAGACCCUAUGGCUCCAUUUCAACCACUACACAUACCUCGUGCUUUGCAUUAAAAACUAUAAAUAGCCAUUUAUUCUCUUGAAUUGCUAGUGUACUGCAAGGAGUAGUUUUAGUCCAUAUUAAUGCCAAAAAGCUCUCUGCUCUGUCAUAGACAGGAAUAACACAGGCUAUAGUAGAAAGAAAGAGUGUAGUCAUUUGGAUGCAACCAAGGUGUGAAUUGCACUCUGUUCUUGUAGGCCAGGACUUGAUCUUCAGCCCUCUGAGUAUUGUGUCCUACUGAGGAGGAGCCAGAUAUGAUGAGGAGGUGACAGAUACUGUUUUUAAUGCAAAAUUUGAUUAGGAAGGAGUUACAAGAAACAAGAUCAUUAAGUUCAUUAGUAGUAAUUUGUAAAACCUGUUCAUUUCUGCUGAUUGUGCUAAGGAAAUGUACAGCGGGCCCUUCCUGGGGAAUUGGUGUGCCUUCACUUUUGGAUAGUAGACCAGAGGGUUGUAGCUCCAGACGACAGCCUGGACAUAACCGUACUACACUUCUGGUUAGAAAGAAAUCUCCAAUGGAUAAUAAUCCGGAUGAACAAUAAAAGAGUUAUAGGCCUCUGUAGGGGAAAAUCCCAUUAUAUUACAUUGAGAACAUGAAAAUACAUUGACAAUACUUGGCCUGAAAUACAGAAGAAUUAGGGAGCACUUGACUGAAACAAAGAAAGUGAUGAAAGGCUCAGAAAAAAAAAAAAAACAACACCCUUGUUUUCUUAUUUUUCAUUUUAUUUUGACAUAUCUUUGUGAAACUUAGCAAUGUAUCAAAUUAGAGGCCACUAAACUGAAGAUCAAUAAGAGGAGUGCUAUAAGCCAUGUGUGAGUGUGGCUGUGCUUGGGUGCUUGUGUGCAUGCAUAAAGAGAGAGAGAGACAUAAAAGCUGCAUUAUUUUCUACCACAUAAAGAAAUAAACUAACAGAUUGUGGGUGGAAUAAUUGACCA